GUUCAGGGGGACCAGGAAUUCACCCCCUCUGUCUACCGCUUUUCUACACGGUGCGGGGGAGCCGCCUGGGGGUGUUGGCUGUGAGGCCGCAGAGAAAUGACACACACGGUCCCGUGGCUGGAGACAGCGUCACCUUACAGCUCCAGGGCUGGAGCUCAGGGACCAGCCCUCCACUGCACAGCUGCUCUCGUCUGGCCCCAUCACCUACUGCCCCACGGCGAGCCCCCCUCCCCCUCCCCCUCCCCCGCUGGCCUCUGGUACCCAUCAUAGCUGGUGGCCAGAGGAAGGUCAGGGAGGGUCACCAAGCCCCAAGCUGGCUGGCCCCUCACGGCCUUCCUCGUGCUCCCGAUGGCAGAGGCCACCUCCCCUGAGUGGGGCAUGUGUGUGUGUGAACGUGAGUGCGCACAGGUCACGUGGGUGUGGGUGUGGAUGUGCACGUGCGUGUGCGUGGGCAGGGCUCUUGUGAAAUCUGGAGCCCCGUACGACAAUUCAGGGCAAAUUAUACCUCCACCAAGAGCAGAGAAAUGUGGAAAUAUUUCUCAACUGAGGCUUUUAGAUAAUGUAUUGAUACAUUCUGUCUAAACCGGGCAAGGCAGGUUACUCGUACAAAAUUAUGUUUCAAAAUCCCUCAACUAAAUCUCUAGCUUCUGAGAUGUCUGGCGUGUAACUCACAUAAUAGAGAUUUUAUUCGAAGCCGUGAAAAUGGCUUGUAUCUUGUCACCGAUACUUUUAAAAUAAAAACUACAUAUAGACUGAACCUAAGGUAACUUUCCAACGUCGAGACCCAUCAUUAUAUUUUACAGAGUGAACACGUGAUUAUCUCUCAUGCCCGAUUACUUGGCUGUGCUGAGGACUCCAACACUUCCAAGAGAAAGAAGGCGAAAAGCCUUGGGGAUAAUGCAUGGGACGAAGUUAGACACUUCCAGCCCCAUCCAGGGUCUUUCUCUUUAUCAGACCCAGUUCUCAGCUCUGCUGUGUGAGGACGUUCACGCCUCCGCGCACGUCACCGGCCGGGCAGCACUUUGUGCGUGUGCGUGGUGGCUCCCUCCCACGGGUGUGCCACCAUCGGUGACCAGAGCGUCACGGGACGGCCGGUCUAGGCAAAGGAGGGUUACGGUCCUGGUCAUCUUUACUGGGACCGGGUCCCAGAUCCUGGGGGCACAGGAUGUAAGCAUGGUCUCUGAAACGUAUCAACACAACAGACGUUCAGACCAACAGCUGGCACCUAUUAGCGCCCACGGCUGUCUUCCCGGGGAGGGAGCUGUCACCCGGUGCUAAGUAUACCCACAUCACGCUCGUGGCCACCGCCGUCAGGAAGUCACUGGAGCUUUCCACCCACAUUUGGAAUCUGCAUUUGGGAGAAGCCUGUGUUUAAGGGCUCCUAACAGGCAGAUGCCAGCUGGAUGUCCACUCGGGGACAUCCUGCCGGACACGAAGCCAGCCUGACGGGCUCAUUGGGUCCAGCGACGGCCAUCUGGACGUGCAGAGGCGACACCGGCAACCAGGAGACGGUCGAUUUCCAAGGAACGAGUGCAGUGACCAUCCAGUUGAGACGCUCACCCCCAACGCCCAAAUAAGCGGGUGUCAGUCUUGGGCCGGACCUCUAGAUGCAGAUGCCCCCCUCUCUUCUGCUUGACGUGCCCUGGCCUGGAGGACAAGGGACCCACUGGCGAGGGCGGAGGAGCCGGGCACCGGGACAAUGUCCGACAGGGGGGUGCCGGAGGGACGCACAGAGCCCGAGGAGGGGUAGACGCAGCUACGCCGGGGUCACCAGGGGCAGCGGGUCUCCCGCGAGCUGUCCAGAGUACCAGGCCGUGCUCAGGCCGUCGCACCUCAGGGCCCCAGCCUGCAAGGAGCCCACAGCUGUUUGGCUGCAGGAGGUCAGCUUGGUGGUGACAUCUGGAAAUGCAAGUGUCUUCUCCCGCCUCUGUCUCCCGCUUACCGAGCCCAGACCUCAGACGGCCCGCCCGCUUCUGAAGAGAGGCAGGAACAGGCCGGCCACGCCCGCACGGUCCCAGAGCAGAAGCUGCCUGGGACACACGUGAAAACACGAAGGACAGAUCCACGCGGCCUGAGGUCCCAUCGUCCGGCGGAAACCGGCGGGAGGCGUUUGCCGCGUUCUCCACGCUGGGAGCACCCAGACACAAGCAGGGCACACGUGUGCACUUUCUCCCGAGCCCCAGGGAGUGCUGGGGACCCGCCCCCACUCCACGGGUGGCUGAAACAACAAAGAGUGUGGCAGACGGACGUUUUGUUUUCAUCACAUACCUGGUCCGGGGUGUCGUAAAGAAUGAGAACCGGUGUCGCUGGCACUAACCCAGCCAGCGGGAGGUGCAGUGGGAAAGCACACCUACUUUUGUAGAAAUCAGCACAAACGUUCUGUAAAACAAACCAGAGCAGGCAGCAGAACGAAAAGCAGACAGACCAGAGCGCGGGGGGACUUGAGUCGGCGGAGAGGGAAGCCAAGGCGGGCCUGAUCCAGAGCCCGGGAGCCGGGAGCUCCGGCCCCGUGGGCGCCACCCGGCUCGAGAAUCUUCUCCCCACAUCCACGCGGGGGGCCGCCUCCCCCUUCCCCGGGUGGACCCGGGUUGUUCUCCAGAGAGACUGAAACCUGGUCUCCGGGCCAGGGGGCCCCCGGUAUGCACAGCCUGCACACGAGGCCCCGUUUCCUGUCCUCCGAGAGGCACCGCGGGCAGGACGCGGGCGCACUCGGUCACACGGCACUGACGACACACGAGCAGGCCCGGAACCGAGGAAGGGCCCGUGGGCUGCGAUGUUUGGGGAAGCCGCCAGAAAGUACAGCUCCGCAGCAAGGCCAGACACAGGGAGGGAAGCGUGGGGAAGCGCGGGGCCGGCGGAGGGGCCGGGGCUCGGCCAACGGGAGUCCGGAGCGGAGAGCGAGGACCAUGGAACGCAGGUGGCACCAGCCAGCAAUCCCGGGAAAAUUCGCCAGAACCGAAGUUGUGGGUUUCCAGGUCGGAAGCCCUCCCACCCGCGGCUUCCCGGCGGCUGCCAGCACGUGGCCCAAGGGAGGGUCCCACAGAGGCACGAGGGUCAGGGAACGGUUCCCGUGUGCCAGGCAGCGCCGGGAGCCAGAGGGCCGUGCCAGGCUCCGGGUCACCGUCACCACAGGCCCAUGAGCGGGGGAGGGCCGUGGGGGGAGCCACGUCUCCAUCCCUCACCACGGCCGGCCGGGGACGGCGCCCACACCUAGCGAGUGAAGAGACAGCGAGCGCGGCUCGUGUGGGACAUGGCGAGCCCCAGAGGGCAGGCCCACGGCCCCGGGAGGAUCAGAGAGGACAGAGGCUACAGACACACGUCCCUCGGGAACAGACACGGGGUGUCGGGCCACAGAGCGGGCGCGGUCCCCCGGGCACAGCUCCGGGGCACGGGCAGCCCGCCGGACGUGAACGCCGGGCACCCUUAUUAUCGCUGCUGCGACGGAACGAUUCAUAAUCCACAGCCCUGCCCUUUCACGCGUCUCCAGGAUGAGACCACGCCGGAUGUGCAAGUCCGUCCGUCGGCUCCAGGGCUCAUCGGCCCCGAGAUCCUGGCUCAGACACGGCACGUGGAUUCCCCAGCCCUCCGGAGCCCCCGGCUCGGUCGAGGCGUGCGGGGCAACCCAAGGGCACUGCGUGGCUCACACGGAGUCCCAGUGCCACCCGGACCCGGGGCGCGGGUCUGUGGGCAGAGCUCCACGCCCAGCAGGUGCUGCAUGCGGGAGGUCACGUGACAGUCCCCGACCCCGUGCCUCAGUUUCCCACGUAUGUGUGCGAGCAAAUGCUUAAGCUGACAGAAAAUAAAAUGUGUCACGGGAA
This is a long non-coding RNA of Leopardus geoffroyi (Geoffroy's cat), 3818 nucleotides long. RefSeq lists it as uncharacterized. The transcript is spliced from 2 exons. The record is from RefSeq and is a predicted model, not a curated record. Lineage: Eukaryota; Metazoa; Chordata; Mammalia; Carnivora; Felidae.